Molecule: ribosomal RNA, 422 nt
Filed under: uncultured bacterium
Lineage: Bacteria
Description: bacterial SSU rRNA
Rfam family: Bacterial small subunit ribosomal RNA
Source: RNAcentral
UAGGGAAUAUUGGUCAAUGGAUGCAAGUCUGAACCAGCCAUGCCGCGUGCAGGAAGAAGGCCUUCUGGGUUGUAAACUGCUUUUGUCAGGGGAUAAAAUGGGAGUGCGCUCCUAAUUGAAGGUACCUGGCGAAUAAGCCACGGCUAACUACGUGCCAGCAGCCGCGGUAAUACGUAGGUGGCAAGCGUUGUCCGGAUUUAUUGGGUUUAAAGGGUGCGUAGGCGGUCCCAUAAGUCAGUGGUGAAAUACUCUAGCUUAACUAGAGGGGUGCCAUUGAUACUGCGGGACUUGAGUGGAGUUGAAGUGGGCGGAAUUGACGGUGUAGCGGUGAAAUGCUUAGAUAUCGUCAAGAACACCGAUAGUGAAGACAGCUCACUAAGCUCAAACUGACGCUGAGGCACGAAAGUGUGGGGAUCAAACAG